RNAcentral lists this long non-coding RNA (1142 nucleotides) under Vulpes vulpes (red fox). RNAcentral's name for it is "lncRNA (ENSVVUG00000029740.1)". The record is from RNAcentral. Lineage: Eukaryota; Metazoa; Chordata; Mammalia; Carnivora; Canidae.
AUCGCCUUUUCAAUUUGUUGAUUCUUUCUCUGUGCAGAGAAGUUCAGAAAGUAUAAAGAAUAAAUAACAAUCAACCAUAAUCCCACUACUGAAAGAAGUUGGAGUGACUUUCCAAUAGGAAAGGAAUCACUAAUGAGGCCAUUUCCUUCACCAUAGAAGAGGAUCGAAAGUGUCAGACAUAUGAUGGUGGUCUACUUUCAUUUAACAGAUCUGGAUUUUGUUGGGAAACUCAAGUACAACACUUAGCAUCACUUCCCAAGGACCUCCAUGUGGUUUGGUAAGCCAAAGUAAGCUAACAUGCCCAUGCACAGUACUGGGAAAUUUGCCCUGUACCCUUUUUAGUCACCAUAGCAGAAAGAUUUUACUUGUUAUAAUAUCAGCAUUGUCAUUUUGCAGAACUGAGUGCAUCAGCAAAAAAAAAAAAAAAAAAGAAAGAAAAGAAAAAAGAAAAAAGAAAAAAAUUGUGCAUCUGCGCACAUGAGAGUGUGUGCACACACAUUUGGCUCAGCCUAACUGAGGAGAUCUUGACUUAGAAAUGAAACAAUUUUAUAAUUCAUACAAUUUAAAAAACAGACCAAAAAACAUCACUAAAUAAGUAGUUGUCACAGAAACCUAACAAAUCCCUGAGUUACCUAGCCACAGCCUAUAUACAAGCUAUCUGGAUUUUUCCUCUAAAAAAAAUGAUAGAAUAUUCAACCAGUACAGAAUUCAAACCAUAUUGUAGUGCAACUCCCUUGUUUCACAUUUUGAGGUUUUCACUUUGAUUUUACAGUGCUUUUCAUCACUUACUAAUUGUCUACUAAUAACCAUUUCUUAGCUUUCUUUCCCAGGCAGGUUACAAAUUCCCUGACUGCAGAGGCUACAUCAUCUUCAUUGUGUGGCUCACCAGCCUAAUGAGUGAAAGAUGCUCAGUAAAUGUCAAAAAUGAUCCUCGUGCUUCACCUACACCUUUUGGUACAGUCGCAGAUAAGAAAAUACUUCAAGAGCACCUGUGGAAAUUUCUUGUCCUCUGUGGCAUUUAUGAGGUGGAAGAGAUUGCUGAACUCUGGUUACGGACAGAAGAGAACAACAAGCAGAAAACAUUUCUCUUGGGCCCCCAGGGCCACUGUGGAGUGCACGUUCAUGAUGUUUUAUCCAACUGA